GGCGGCCUAUCCAUGCGAUGUCGAGCGGUAGAGAGGUGCUUGCAUCUCUUGAGAGCGGCGGACGGGUGAGUAAUGCCUAGGAAUCUGCCUGGUAGUGGGGGAUAACGUUCGGAAACGGACGCUAAUACCGCAUACGUCCUACGGGAGAAAGCAGGGGACCUUCGGGCCUUGCGCUAUCAGAUGAGCCUAGGUCGGAUUAGCUAGUUGGUGAGGUAAUGGCUCACCAAGGCGACGAUCCGUAACUGGUCUGAGAGGAUGAUCAGUCACACUGGAACUGAGACACGGUCCAAACUCCUACGGGAGGCAGCAUUGGGGAAUAUUGGACAAUGGGCGAAAGCCUGAUCCAGCCAUGCCACGUGUGUGAAGAAGGUCUUCGGAUUGUAAAGCACUUUAAGUUGGGAGGAAGGGUACUUACCUAAUACGUGAGUAUUUUGACGUUACCGACAGAAUAAGCACCGGCUAACUCUGUGCCAGCAGCCGCGGUAAUACAGAGGGUGCAAGCGUUAAUCGGAAUUACUGGGCGUAAAGCGCGCGUAGGUGGUUCGUUAAGUUGGAUGUGAAAUCCCCGGGCUCAACCUGGGAACUGCAUCCAAAACUGGCGAGCUAGAGUAUGGUACAGGGUGGUGGAAUUUCCUGUGUAUUGGUGAAAUGCGUAUAUAUAUGAAGGAACACCACUGUCGAAGGCUACCACCUGGACUGAUACUGACACUGAGGUGCGAAAGCGUGGGGAGCAUACACGAUUAGAUACCCUGGUAGUCCACGCCGUAUACCAUGUCGACUAGCCGUUGGGAGCCUUGAGCUCUUAGUGCUGCAUCUAUCGCAUUAGGCUGACAGUCUGUAGAGUACAGACCGCUUGUUAAAACUCAUUUGAAUUGACGGGGGCCCGCGCAAGCGGUGGAGCAUGUGGUUUACUUCGGACCCACGCGUAGAUCCUUACCAGCGCCUUGACAUCCAAUGAACUUUCCAUGAGAUGGAUUGGAUGCCUUCGGGAACAUUGAGACAGGUGCUGGCAUGGAUGUCGAUCGUCUCAUGUCGUGAUAUGUCAGGGCUGAGUACCCGAUAGCGCGCGUCAGCACAUCGUCUUACGUACUCCUCACGUCAUGGCUGGCACUCUACGCAGACUGACGUUGACCAACAGAUGAUGGAGGGGAGAUGCCACCUCCUACCUACUCGGGCCCCUUAACGCCCGUGCCCUACCCACGUGCUACAAUGGUCCGGUACAGAGGGUGCCAAGCCCCCGGGGUGAAACCUAUAUCUC
Molecule: ribosomal RNA, 1258 nt
Filed under: Pseudomonas chlororaphis subsp. piscium
Lineage: Bacteria; Pseudomonadati; Pseudomonadota; Gammaproteobacteria; Pseudomonadales; Pseudomonadaceae
Description: bacterial SSU rRNA
Rfam family: Bacterial small subunit ribosomal RNA
Source: RNAcentral